RNAcentral lists this ribosomal RNA (215 nucleotides) under Alexandrium margalefii. RNAcentral describes it as "partial Bacterial large subunit ribosomal RNA". It matches the Rfam family "Bacterial large subunit ribosomal RNA", at positions 1942 to 2156 of the family's 2925-position model. The record is from RNAcentral. Lineage: Eukaryota; Dinophyceae; Gonyaulacales; Pyrocystaceae.
AUAACGGUCCUAAGGUAGCGAAAUUCCUUGUCGGGUAAGUUCCGACCUGCACGAAUGGCGUAACGACUUCCCCGCUGUCUCCAACAUCGACUCAGCGAAAUUGAAUUACCUGUCAAGAUGCAGGUUUCCCGCGGUUAGACGGAAAGACCCCGUGCACCUUUACUACAGCUUCACACUGGCAUCAGGCCAAGCAUGUGCAGGAUAGGUGGUGGGCU